This 500-nucleotide ribosomal RNA is filed under the name uncultured bacterium. Its description in RNAcentral is "partial 16S ribosomal RNA". It matches the Rfam family "Bacterial small subunit ribosomal RNA", at positions 30 to 523 of the family's 1533-position model. The record is from RNAcentral.
AUUGGACGCUGGCGGAAUGCUUUACACAUGCAAGUCGAACGGCAGCACGGACUUCGGUCUGGUGGCGAGUGGCGAACGGGUGAGUAAUACACCGGAACGUGCCCAGUCGUGGGGGAUAACGUAGCGAAAGCUACGCUAAUACCGCAUACGAUCUAAGGAUGAAAGCGGGGGAUCGCAAGACCUCGCGCGUUUGGAGCGGCCGAUGGCAGACUAGGUAGUUGGUAGGGUAAAGGCCUACCAAGCCGACGAUCUGUAGCUGGUCUGAGAGGACGACCAGCCACACUGGGACUGAGACACGGCCCAGACUCCUACGGGAGGCGGCAGUGGGGAAUUUUGGACAAUGGACGCAAGUCUGAUCCAGCCAUUCCGCGUGCAGGAUGAAGGCCCUCGGGUUGUAAACUGCUUUUGUACAGAACGAAAAGGCUCUGGUUAAUACCUGGAGCUCAUGACGGUACUGUAAGAAUAAGCACCGGCUAACUACGUGCCAGCCGCCGCAGUAA